This 344-nucleotide unclassified non-coding RNA is filed under the name soil metagenome. RNAcentral describes it as "partial contains 5.8S ribosomal RNA, internal transcribed spacer 2, and large subunit ribosomal RNA". The stretch from base 1 to 120 matches the Rfam family "5.8S ribosomal RNA", at positions 35 to 154 of the family's 154-position model. The record is from RNAcentral.
GAUGAAGAACGUAGCGAAAUGCGAUAAGUAAUGUGAAUUGCAGAAUUCAGUGAAUCAUCGAAUCUUUGAACGCACAUUGCGCCCCUUGGUAUUCCGAGGGGCAUGCCUGUUCGAGCGUCAUUUCAACCCCUCAAGCUUCGGCUUGGUGUUGGGCCGCGCCGCUGCACCAGCAGCUGGCGGGCCUCAAAAUCAGUGGCGGUGCCGUCUCGGCUCUAAGCGUAGUAACAUCUCUCGCUCUGGAGACCUGGCGGUGGCUUGCCAGACAACCCCCAACUUUCUUUAAGGUUUGACCUCGGAUCAGGUAGGGAUACCCGCUGAACUUAAGCAUAUCAAUAAGCGGAGGA